GACGAACGCUGGCGGCGUGCUUAACACAUGCAAGUCGAACGGAAAGGCCCUGCUUUUGUGGGGUGCUCGAGUGGCGAACGGGUGAGUAACACGUGAGUAACCUGCCCUUGACUUUGGGAUAACUUCAGGAAACUGGGGCUAAUACCGGAUAGGAGCUCCUGCUGCAUGGUGGGGGUUGGAAAGUUUCGGCGGUUGGGGAUGGACUCGCGGCUUAUCAGCUUGUUGGUGGGGUAGUGGCUUACCAAGGCUUUGACGGGUAGCCGGCCUGAGAGGGUGACCGGCCACAUGGGGAGUGAGAUACGGCCCAGACUCCUACGGGAGGCAGGAGUGGGGAAUAUUGCAUAAUGGGCGGAAGCCUGAUGCAGCAACGCCGGGUGCGGGAUGACGGCCUUCGGGUUGUAAACCGCUUUCGCCUGUGACGAAGCGUGAGUGACGGUAAUGGGGAAAGAAGCACCGGCGAACUACGU
Molecule: ribosomal RNA, 467 nt
Filed under: uncultured bacterium
Lineage: Bacteria
Description: partial 16S ribosomal RNA
Rfam family: Bacterial small subunit ribosomal RNA
Source: RNAcentral